AGAGCGAACGCUGGCGGCAGGCUUAACACAUGCAAGUCGAGCGGAUGUAGCAAUACAUCAGCGGCAGACGGGUGAGUAACACGUGGGAACGUACCUUUUGGUUCGGAACAACACAGGGAAACUUGUGCUAAUACCGGAUAAGCCCUUACGGGGAAAGAUUUAUCGCCGAAAGAUCGGCCCGCGUCUGAUUAGCUAGUUGGUGAGGUAAUGGCUCACCAAGGCGACGAUCAGUAGCUGGUCUGAGAGGAUGAUCAGCCACAUUGGGACUGAGACACGGCCCAAACUCCUACGGGAGGCAGCAGUGGGGAAUAUUGGACAAUGGGCGCAAGCCUGAUCCAGCCAUGCCGCGUGAGUGAUGAAGGCCCUAGGGUUGUAAAGCUCUUUGUGCGGGAAGAUAAUGACGGUACCGCAAGAAUAACGCCCGGCUAACUUCGCGCCAGCAGCCGC
RNAcentral lists this ribosomal RNA (447 nucleotides) under uncultured bacterium. Its description in RNAcentral is "SSU rRNA". It matches the Rfam family "Bacterial small subunit ribosomal RNA", at positions 26 to 518 of the family's 1533-position model. The record is from RNAcentral.